RNAcentral lists this ribosomal RNA (391 nucleotides) under uncultured bacterium. RNAcentral describes it as "bacterial SSU rRNA". It matches the Rfam family "Bacterial small subunit ribosomal RNA", at positions 30 to 419 of the family's 1533-position model. The record is from RNAcentral.
AUUGAACGCUGGCGGCAUGCCUUACACAUGCAAGUCGAACGGCAGCACGGGAGCAAUCCUGGUGGCGAGUGGCGAACGGGUGAGUAAUAUAUCGGAACGUGCCCAGUCGUGGGGGAUAACGUAGCGAAAGCUACGCUAAUACCGCAUACGAUCUAUGGAUGAAAGCGGGGGAUCGCAAGACCUCGCGCGAUUGGAGCGGCCGAUAUCAGAUUAGGUAGUUGGUGAGGUAAAGGCUCACCAAGCCGACGAUCUGUAGCUGGUCUGAGAGGACGACCAGCCACACUGGGACUGAGACACGGCCCAGACUCCUACGGGAGGCAGCAGUGGGGGAAUUUUUGGACAAUGGGCGCAAGCCUGAUCCAGCAAUGCCGCGUGCAGGAUGAAGGCCUUC